GAUGAACGCUGGCGGCGUGCCUAAUACAUGCAAGUCGAGCGAACGGACGAGAAGCUUGCUUCUCUGAUGUUAGCGGCGGACGGGUGAGUAACACGUGGAUAACCUACCUAUAAGACUGGGAUAACUUCGGGAAACCGUAGCUAAUACCGGAUAAUAUUUUGAACCGCAUGGUUCAAAGGUGAAAGACGGUCUUGCUGUCACUUAUAGAUGGAUCCGCGCUGCAUUAGCUAGUUGGUAAGGUAACGGCUUACCAAGGCAACGAUGCAUAGCCGACCUGAGAGGGUGAUCGGCCAAACUGGAACUGAGACACGGUCCAGACUCCUACGGGAGGCAGCAGUAGGGAAUCUUCCGCAAUGGGCGAAAGCAUGACGGAGCAACGCCGCGUGAGUGAUGAAGGUCUUCGGAUCGUAAAACUCUGUUAUUAGGGAAGAACAUAUGUGUAAGUAACUGUGCACAUCUUGACGGUACCUAAUCAGAAAGCCACGGCUAACUACGUG
This 497-nucleotide ribosomal RNA is filed under the name uncultured bacterium. RNAcentral describes it as "partial 16S ribosomal RNA". It matches the Rfam family "Bacterial small subunit ribosomal RNA", at positions 28 to 507 of the family's 1533-position model. The record is from RNAcentral.